Molecule: transfer RNA, 73 nt
Filed under: Patescibacteria group bacterium
Lineage: Bacteria
Also listed under: 2 other names
Description: tRNA-Val
Rfam family: tRNA
About the family: Transfer RNA (tRNA) molecules are approximately 80 nucleotides in length.
Source: RNAcentral
GGGCGCUUAGCUCAGUUGGUAGAGCAACUCUUUUACACAGAGAAGGUCAGGGGUUCGAAUCCCUUAGCGCCCA